Molecule: long non-coding RNA, 1996 nt
Filed under: Homo sapiens (human)
Lineage: Eukaryota; Metazoa; Chordata; Mammalia; Primates; Hominidae
Description: non-protein coding ZNF252P-AS1:3
Source: RNAcentral
AGUCCUGCUCCUUCCCGGUUACGUCCCUUCCAGCCCUUGGCGGAGUCUGCGGGCGAGAGGGCGCAGGUGCAGAGGUGCCGCCGGCGGCGUGCGGCUGCGAAGGAAGGGACCCCGACACCGAGCGUUCCUGCGGACGCUCCUCAACCGGGGGUUGUUCUCCGUGCUCUGGACCCGGCCCUUCCUCACCUAGGACGUCUCGCGGUGCACUGUCCCCCUCUCUCGGGCGACUUUUCCCCCACCUCCAAGUAGUGAUCAAGCUCAGAAUCCAGCUCGCGCCCGCUGUGCACCUAGCACUUCCCACCUGUAGUCUUUUGACCUCAUCGCCCCCUCUAGAAGGCUGCUGCCAUCGCUUAAAUGAGGAAGCCGAGGUGCAGAGAGGUUUCAGACCUAUUGCGGUGGAGCUGGAGUUCGAGAACCAACCACUCGGUGCUGAGACGCGCUUGCGGAACGGGCGGCGGGCGGGGGUGAAGCGGAGUGAGGGGAGAGGCCAGGUGCGACCCGGGCAGGGGUAUUUAGUGAGCACUUACUGUUGCAGUAAGACUCUAGCCAAGGAAGACGAAGAGACAGUUGGAGACCAAAGAGAACUUCAAUUCGGGCACCCGAGCCUAGAGCAGGCUCAUGCCCAAAAUGGCUACCGACCCAGACAAAGAAAGCAGGCUUGCUUAUAUGUCGUUUCAGGCGUGAAAAACAAGGCAGGAUACAAGUUUCAGACAAAGACAGUAAAUUAUUCAACCUGUGACAAUUCUGAGAAAACUUACAUUUAGUUAUCUUGACCAGUCAACCUUGAAGCUGGACAGAGCUGGGGUAAGGGAAAACAGGAAUUACGGAAGUAUGAGGGAGUCGCGAGGCCGGAGAUAAGCUUGGAAGGUUGAGAUAAGCUCGCAGGUGCAACUUCUUAGCAAUGCUGAGAGUGGCUGCUUAAAUUUCUUAGCCUAUGUAUAACUUCUAAAUAGCCUACACUAAAUGGUAACUAUUACCUAUGUUGUGUUUGUUAUUUUAAACUUUAAUGUUAUUUAUUUUAUUUCAUUUUCCUUCCACAUUACCUCUGCUGUUAGCAGCUUUGAGAAAUGCUGCUAUAGGAUGUGGGAAGUCAUUAAAGGAUUUAAGCAGGGAGAGGCAAGAUCAGAUUAACAUUUCAGAAAAAUAUUUACUGUUUUCCAGCUGAAACUAGUAGAGUACAAUUUACUUUCUGGUCACAGCACACAGCAGUCACAUCCUGGAGGAACUGUACUUCUCUAAGAUCUAGUCUGUCCUGUGGUUUAAAUGACCUUUAGCAAAUUGUCUUUAUUACUUUGUACACUGCUUUCACCAGUCUGCUCUUCCAUGGCUAACGGGGCAGAACUGUUAUUUUUAGGGUUUUCCACAUCCAGUAUGUUCAUAAGAUUUCUACCCUGUGUGAACUUCCAGAUGUCGAAUAAAGGCUGGAUGCUGACCAAAGACCUUUCCACAUUUUUUACAUGUGUGUAGGGUUGCUCACCAGUAGUAUUCCCCUGAUGCUUCAUAAUGGUUGAUCCCAGAGAGAAUGCCCUUUCACACUCAUUACAUUCAUAGGGUUUCUGUCCAGUGUGAGUUCUGUGAUGGGAAAUUAGGUUAGAACUUUAAACAAAGGCCUUUCCACGUUUGUUACACUGAUAAGGCUUAUUUCCAAUGUGGAUUCUUUGGUGUUACACAAGAUUAGAGCUGUAGUUGAAGGUUUUCCCACACUCUGCCUUCAUAGAACUUGUCUUUAUAGUGAAAUCUCUGGUGUUUUCUAAAUUGUGUUAGUCCUUCUUAAGGCUUACCAUGUUCACUACACUACACAAUUCCUCUCCAUGGUAACUAUUUGGGUGCUCAUUAAAGGCUGUACUCUGACGUUCUGCAUGUUUUUGAGAUUUCAUUAGGAUGUGGGCUUUCUGGUGAUUGUUAAAAUGUGAGUUAUCUGAAGCUGUGUCCAGAUGAAUUACGUUGAUAGGUUUUCUCUUUUGUGGGAACAUUCAGAUAUGCUACAGGGUUUGAG